Molecule: small RNA, 285 nt
Filed under: Roseovarius azorensis
Lineage: Bacteria; Pseudomonadati; Pseudomonadota; Alphaproteobacteria; Rhodobacterales; Roseobacteraceae
Description: 5' ureB small RNA
Rfam family: 5' ureB small RNA
Source: Rfam by way of RNAcentral
UCGUCGAUCUGCUGCGGGCAUAUGAAAUGGAUAUGCGCGUCAAACCCGCCGGGGGUGAGGAUACGACCCUCGCCCGCAAUGAUCUCGGUGCCCGGGCCGAUGAUGAUGUCGACGCCGGAUUGCGUGUCGGGAUUGCCCGCCUUGCCGAUGAUGGCGAUGAGACCGUCGCGCAGGCCGACAUCGGCCUUGUAGAUUCCGGUGUGAUCGAGGAUCAGCGCGUUGGUGAUGACCGUGUCCAUGGCGCCGCCCGCGCGGGACCUCUGGCUUUGCCCCAUACCGUCGCGG